Lathyrus oleraceus (garden pea) is the source of this 1488-nucleotide long non-coding RNA. RefSeq lists it as uncharacterized. The transcript has 2 exons. Lineage: Eukaryota; Viridiplantae; Streptophyta; Magnoliopsida; Fabales; Fabaceae. The record is from RefSeq and is a predicted model, not a curated record.
GCAUGCCAGAAAAAGGGUGGCAACCCCAAAUGGGGCGCUUGGGUCUGAGAGAGGCUCAACCCUCUAAUCUCACAUCAGCAGGGGGUGUGAGACUGAAAAGGAGGGUGUGAUUAAGUAAAUAUCAAGGGCCCAAAAGUGGAAGCCCAUAAAUCCCAGGUCAAAGGGACUGAAUGGUUGAAUCAUGCACACGUGGCCAUCUGAUUUUGAUCAGAUAGCCCUGAUAACAUCAUGAUCAAAGCGCCUAACAACCCUAGGAUCUACAUACUAUAUAGUCAAAGCAGAUCUAAUGGCCGAGAUAAAAAUGAUAACAGAGACACUCGGGGGGUCCUGUACAAGAUCCCUUCCACAUUUAUCCAAGACCGGCCACUAGCUAAUUAACAUGUGGAAAUUAAGAAUUAAAAAAAAUAAAAAAUUAAAAAAUAAAAGCAUAAUAAAACACACCGAUGAGAUUGAGGGUUGAGAUUCGAUAUAGGAAUCUCUUCCCUCUUCUCUCAAUCUCCUCUUCACUUUUUUUAAGCUUCAUUUUCAGAUAAGGAAAGCUCAAAACAACGCGUAGGAAUGGUAUAACAAGAUUCAAACAUCAGGUACAAACAUUAUCGAACACUUAGAAUCAAAUAUCGGGCAUUGAACAGUCAUGAAAAUGAAGAUUUUAAGUCUUAGAAGUUUGGAUUAAAACGAGGUCGGUCUAGCCUUAACUCAAGUGAUCAACUAAAAAUAUAUGCAUAAACAAGGUCAGGCGAGUAUCAUGAAGUUGUCUAGAUGGACGUAUCAUAGAAAACAAUCAGGAAUCCCAAAGUUCUUCACUAAGACGGAGAACAUGAAGAACAAGAACCCUAAUUCUAAAAUUAAAUAUCGAUGGUGAGCAAUUGGAACAUGUUAGCAUGGGGGAAACACUCAGCACAAGAAAAGCAACAAGAUCGUAUCAAGAGAUUAGAGAAAAGUGAAGAAAAUACCUAAUUAGAAACUGGAGAUUUCCAGAUCCCAGUUGAAGUUCACGGCGAGUAUGCACUUUCCGGCGAGAAUUUCUAGAAACCGACAAAGUCCAAAUUUCUCAUGCUUUAGAAGUUGUUCAUAAGUAAGAACAACUUCUUAAAAUUGCAGAGUUUCUAGCAAGAACUUUAGUGAGGAUGAAGUUGUGAAUUGGAUCGUGAUUGUUGCUCUCAAAGUGUGUGUGUGUAGCUCUAAAUUUUUGUGUGUAAUUGUGGCUGCUGAGUAGUGUAUUGAUGCAUAGGCUUUAUAGUGAGUGAAUUAGGUCUAUAUUGGUGAGUGUGAGUUCAAGAUAUUUUGGUGAGUUGGUUGGUGAAUCCGUGUGAAUCAAGUGAGAGGAAUGUGAGGGUGAAGUGUGUGAGUUGCAACUUGUUGAAAUUGUGGGAUGGAGGUUGCAAACCAUGUGACAAACUUGUUAUAAAUCCAAGUGCAAAUGAUGCCAUGUGAUGUAAAAUGUAAUGACAUAUAUGAAUGAAUGAAAACACAUUGAUCCUUUGCCAA